This 385-nucleotide ribosomal RNA is filed under the name uncultured bacterium. RNAcentral's name for it is "bacterial SSU rRNA". It matches the Rfam family "Bacterial small subunit ribosomal RNA", at positions 533 to 917 of the family's 1533-position model. The record is from RNAcentral.
AGUUCCUACUGAUCAGAUAUUGGGCGUAAAGGGCGCGUAGGCGGUCUUGUCCGUCAGAUGUGAAAGCCCGGGGCUCAACCCCGGAAGUGCAUUUGAAACUGCAAGACUUGAAUACGGGAGAGGAGAGAGGAAUUCCUGGUGUAGAGGUGAAAUUCGUAGAUAUCAGGAGGAACACCGAUGGCGAAGGCAUCUCUCUGGACCGAUAUUGACGCUGAGGCGCGAAGGCGUGGGUAGCGAACGGGAUUAGAUACCCCGGUAGUCCACGCAGUAAACGUUGUACACUCGGUGUGGGGGAUAUUAAAAUCUGCUGUGCCUAAGCUAACGCAUUAAGUGUACCGCCGGGGAAGUACGGUCGCAAGACUAAAACUCAAAGGAAAUUGACGGG